This 6435-nucleotide long non-coding RNA is filed under the name Pelobates cultripes (western spadefoot toad). The record is from RNAcentral. Lineage: Eukaryota; Metazoa; Chordata; Amphibia; Anura; Pelobatidae.
UCUACUAGUACUUCAUGGCUUUCUGACUAUGUUGAUUGAUUUUUCUUGUAGUAAAAUGUUCUCUUCUAUUAUCUUGUAGGUCCAGGGGGCCAGUUUCCGAGGCUGGAAGGAUGUAACCUCUAUAUUUAACAAAGAUGAUGAACAGCAGUUGCUAAAAGGAUCGAAAUCUCCUAAAUCUCCUAAAUCCAAUAAGUAAGACUAAUUUGUACUUCAGAAAAAAAGAUGUUGUGCAACUUCAGUUUAUAUUUAAGUGUUCCUGAUAUAAAAAUGAUGGGUUCCGCUGAGAAUUCGUUAAGCUAGGAAUCAUUAAGUAAGAGAAAUGCAAAUUGUAGGCCUCAUCACCUAGAAAACUAGCGUGGAUUUGAGAGUUAUUCAGCUCUUCAAUUUUGGCCUAAAAUUUAAUUACCUUUGACAAUAUCAUCAAUUCUCUGUUUGAAGAACAAGUCUAAUUUUAUAGGAGUAACAUUUCAAGCUCUGUAACGAAUAGAACUAUUAUGGUACUGGUGACAUCAAUCUCCUGCCUUUUUUUUCCUGGUUCUAAACUAGAGAAUUUUACUAGUUGGGCUACUUUGAAUUUAAAUUUGAAACUCACGUUGAAUUCUCGCUUUAGUAAAUAACCCUGUAAAUGUGUAUCUGAGAUGUAGCUAGUUAUCCAUUUGUGGUGUGGAUAAUAUAGGUCUUCCUUAAAGAACCUCUUUAGUCACCGAGGCCAUCUUGCCUCCACUGAGGUAUAAUCCGCAAACUAGUAAACUUUCUAUUGAAACACAUGAUUUUAAAGUGUGGUGACACAUUUUUAUUUUUUUAUUUUUUUUUAAACGAGCACUGUGGUGUUAGGAAUACAAAUAUGUACUCCUAGCUCUAUAUUGUUACAGUUUAGGUGAUAGGACCAGCAAUGCCAGGGCUUGAAAAGUUUGUUUGUUUGUUUACCUUUUCUCCCUUGCAGUGCUGGUCUCCUCCACGAAGUUCCAACCAAGUUUUCAGCUGUAGGGUUAAGCAGGGGAUUAAGAUGAAGUGCUCUGAGCGCCUGUAGUGUUCAUUUAAUCCAGUUUUACUGAAGUCGGUUGGGUAUUUUCUGAAAAGCUGGACAGAUCUGCAUGUUCAGGGAUACUUUGUAAUGGAAACCAGGGAUACUUAUACAUAUAAGUGUUUUAUUUACAAGCAGCGCUGUCACUUGAACCAUUAACUGCUUUGUUGAAAUAACCAAACGUUACCACUAGGGAUUGUUUACAUUCACAACAUUUUUGUUUGUCAGACCAUGGUCUUAUUUACAUGCGUCACUGUUGGUCACUAGAGGAUAAUUAAACCGUGCUCAAAUAUAGCUCAGACUUUGGUAGUAAAUUCCUUAUUGUCUUUUCACAAGCCAUUUUCCUUUCUUGUUCCUUAUGGGCCUUGCUUUUUCAGUGCACAGAUGGGCAUUUACAGUCCAACUUUGUUUCUUUAUCACUGGCAACGUUUCUGCUUUCCAGAUUGCAUUAUUAGAUUUUUAUUCAACAAUCCUAAUUGUUAACAUAUUUUAUAAACGUUGAUUGUUUUUGUUUUUAAUAUCUUUCUCAAAUUGAGAGUAAUCAUUUGCCCUUACUGUCCAACAUAUUAACUGUACCACGGACAUCCUGUCAUUUUACUGAUAAUCAUCUGUGAUUCCUUAUACACGUUGGUGUCUGCCCUUUUUAUAUCUUUUGUAGCGAUAUUGCUGUAUAAUCACAUUUUUACUUCUAAAGACUGUUGAUUACUUCUGCAUUCCCAUCUUCUGCCACAUAUUUCUAACAAGCAAUUUAUGUCCUUCACGUUUCUUUCCUCAUGUUAAAAUGCUAGUCAGCUUUUCCUUUUAACCCCAUCCACAACUGCAUUAUUUAACAUAAAUACAUUUAUAAAGAGUAACAUUUAUGUGAAACGCUGAAUGCAUCGGUUUAAUCAACAUGGUUCUAGAACACAAAAAUGCUGUAUGUAGCGAUGCCUAAGAAAUCUGGAAUGAUGUGCUUUUAAGGAAUCUUAAUAAGUUAAUUAUUAGUUCAUUCUUUGAAAAUAUAAAUGCAGGGAUCAUAUGACCACAUAUAGAUCGGAAGGAGUAUGUGAGAUUUUACAAAAUGCCCUGUUUAGCACUCUUUCUGACAGGUUCAGUAAUGGUAGCGUAGAAGUACAAACCACAAUUUUGUAACCUUGCAACAACCAGGCAUUUGUGUUUCAAAAUGCAUUAAAGUCUGUGAUUACAGCUUGAAAAUAUGCAUCCAUUGCCCUCCCACGUCUCCCAGCUGCUCUUGCUGUAUUGAUACAGUACAUUCAUUUGACCUUGCAGCUUAUGUGUGUGUCUGUUUGUGUUAGUUAUUGUUCCCCUGUGUGAGGCACGAGGACUGAUCAGAGCAUUAGCGGAUAAAUUAUCAUUAUGCUAGAAAGAAAAAAAAAACACAUAAAACACCAUUUAUUUGCUUAAACAUCUUCUGGAUCAGUAAAAAUGGUUAAAUGAUGAUAAAUUUCACAGAUUGGGUAUUUUUAAGCCUCUUUAAUUAUGCAGCUAAUUUGUCAGUUAUUUGAAAGACUGCUAAAAAUAGCAGACUCCAUGUUUAUCCUCACUUCAGAGUUAGUUUAGUUCUAUUCUUAAAUUGCACAAUUCUAUCAUUAGCCCUCGCACUUCUUCCUUUAGUGGAAAAAUAAUUGCAGUUGACUUUGGUUUUGGUUGGCACUGAUAUUUACUGUGUGUGAAUACUACAUUCACAAUGCUUUUAUCCUGAUGUCAACAGGAAACAUUCAAAAUUAAAAGGACACUAUGAGCACCAAAACAACUUUAGCUUAAAGGAACACUAUAGUGAAAUACAAGCAUGUGUUCCUGACACUGUAGAUUUAAAUAGCUGUUUAGGUGACCGCCCCCAUUUGUCACCGAUACUUGGCUCUGCCAAUCCCACAGGAAAGCAUUGAGAAGCUAUCGUGCAUGCACAGCAAAAUGCCACACUGUACCAAUCAGCAACUCCUCUUAGAGUUGCAUUGAAUAAAGUAAACACACUUUGCUGUCAGAUCUGAUUGAAAAUUAAACAAUUUUUUUUUUUUAUCAUACAGCCUGAGUCAGUCACAGCCACUAGAUGUGUAGCCAGGGCUGCAUAAACAGAAACAAAAAUGAAUGAACUCCUAAAUGAAAAAGUUGAGAAUUGAGCAGUGACCUUGCAGGGGCAUGAUCUAUACACCAAAACUGCUUCAGCUGGUUUGAUGCUUGGAAUAUGCCUUUAAAGGAAGAACCGUAGAGUGGUAUUUUGUGCCAACUCUAACAUGACGUCAUUAUUUUAAUUGUCAUAAAUAUUUAUAACAACGUUUUGCAAAUUAUUAUUGUUUAUAGAGCUCCUGUGAAAACUAAGGAGGAGGUGAAGACAGAGAAAAAAACUGGUUUUUGGGACAGUUUGGCCAUUAAACAGAACAUUCAACCAAAGAAAGCGGAUGAAAUUGAAGGUUGGGAACCCCCACAAAUUACAGUAGAGGAGCCCCCGUCUGUUCCAGAAGAUAUGUUGGAAGACAGCAAUUCCUGGCCAGGCUGGGAAGACGAAACCAAAGGAUCUACUAAAUAUACCACCCUGAUGAGUUCAGGAAACAGCUCCCGUUGGAGCAUUAAAUCAGCUGGUAAACUGGUUAGUAUUAGAAGACGGAGCAAAGGCAACCUCACUGAAAGCUGGGAGGAAUUAGAAUGACAACUGCAACAAGCUAGCAAUAUGCAAUCUCUACCCAUUCAGAUGGGCCAGAGUCACCCUUUCCAUGUUGUCAUUUUAUACCAAAAUCUCCUAAGUAUUGUAUACCUAUGUACUUUUAUAGUUAUCAAAAUCCAAAAAAUACAAAUUUGCACUUCUAUUUUUUUGAAUCAGUACAAAGGUAUUAAUAGUUCACUCUUUUUCCACAUAGAAACAAAAUAUCCACCUGUGAAAUAUUGUGGUGCCUUGAUUGUGCCUACAUUACACAUUCAAAUAUAAAACUUGGUUUUACCAAAAAUAAAAGUAAUUCCUUAGUGAAUGUAUACACUGGUUGUAAUUUAGACUGCCUUAUACUGUUAACAGUAAAGGUUUUUGCCUUGCACAUAAAACUGUCAAGUGCCUGUUUUUCACCUUGAUAACGUAUUUGUGAUGCACAGCUUAAUUUAUUGAUAAUGUUAAUUUACUUGUUUCCAUUGGUUUUUAUUGUUAUUAUAAGACAGAAGAUGAAAGACUUUAUAGACCGGCAAUUAUUAGGAAAUAAGUGUUUUAGUAUUUUAUUUCAGGAAAUAGAGAGAAAGACAUGAAUAUUUGAGACUGAGUACUUUCUGUUCUUAAAUUACUACUUAUUACAUUAUUAUAUUCUGUAUAAUUGUAUAGUGUCUCUGUCAAAGGGAAACUAUAUGUCCAAAAAUACAUUUCAUUGUAUCAUUAAAAAAAUUCAUUUAUUAAAAUUUGCACAGAUAAGCCCUGAAUAUGUGCUUUUCAUUAGCUGAAGUACUGGCUCACGCAGCUGGUGAAGAUGUUAGCUAUUGUCUAAUCAAAUGCUUCUCGUAUUGGAGAGAGCAUCUCCAGUCCAUAACUUUUGAUCGAGAUGGAUGGUUGUAUUAAGAUAUAGGGAUUCUUAUUUUUAAAAAAACCUAUUGUAGGGUUGUAUUAGUUCAAGUGCCGCUUUUAAGUAUUAAUUUUUGUGUGCCCAUAAAAAUGGUGCCUUGCUAAAAAAAAAAAAAGGUUGAUUGGAGUUAAAAUCCACAUAAGCGGUUUAGUAAGUGGUUGCCUCACUAUUAUAUUACAUCACAUGUAUACUUCAACUCCCACUAGCCUCAGUCAGAAUCUCAUUGAACACUGUAGUCCAGCAGGUGCAGGCAACUUCUUUCACUCAGUUUAACGAGACUUAACUUCCCAAAAGUGCGGCUUCCAUUUCUUUAUCUAUCUGACCUUUCCACUGAGGACAGAGGUCAAAACUAGAACCAAUUUAUGGCUUGUUUGUUCUGGGUUUGUUUUUUUGUUUUUUUUAUUAGUGAGCUUAGAGAGUUAAGUUGCCUAAAAGUGGGGCAGUAGGAUCUUUAAGACGGUGUGUUUAACUCACUCCGCCACGGGCAGCCUGUCCAAGGCAUCUGAUGGUAGAAUGCUGUGUGUGCUUGCACCAGAGGCAAAAGUUGCACAAAAUUUAUAACCAGGAAGAAAGUAUUCCAGCUAGCUAACUGACAGCCCAGGAAGGUGAGUCUACAUACAGAAAAAUUGAUAUUUAUCUCCACAAUUAUUAUUAUUAUUAUUAUUAUUAUUAUUUUUUAGAUACAGGAUUUCUGCGCCAUAAACACUUCAUUAAGAUGAAGUAUGUAUGGUGCUCAGAGUGAGCCUUUAAGCUGACCAAAGUAAAGAGUUUUUCAUCGUGACAUUUAAAACGUAUUUUAAUGUUUUCUCUUUUUAAUUUGCUUUUGUGUGUGUGUGUUUUUAUGCUUUGUGAUGUUUAUUUUCUCUAGUACGGGAUUUGAUGACUAGCCAUUGUUCAUUAUGACUCGUAACAUCACCCUUUUGGAUCAGAUUUGCUAGUUAUGAUAUGAAUUGUAUGUUAACUGCUGAGAUUCCAAAGCUUAAUUAAGCAAGAUUUUAAACUUUGAGCAAUCAAUACACUGGGUCCUCUUUAACUUAAUGUGAAGCAGGGUGUAUUGAAAAGGAUCCAUUCUUUAAAGUAAAGUAUGUUUUUAACCUGCACAUUAUAAAAUGAAAUACACUGGUUGUUCCAAAUGAUUGUGUUUUAUUGAUCAUCUAUAAAGUCAAUCCUAUAUUUUGCACCUAGGGAAGGAAAAUUCUCCCAAACAAUGUGUUUUGUGAGCAAUAAAUAACCUGGUACUUUGCCUGGUUUUCCUUGGAAGUCUUUGGGCUUUCCUCUUUUUGCUAAGCAGGCAGACAGUUUAGCUCACAAUUGCCUUCAAUGUUUAGGAUGGUUCGGUUCAACAAGGUUUAAAUUGGUCUCACUCAUUUUGGGCUAAUCCAUUUAGAAGAGAAAAUUGUGGAAUUCAGGCCAUCGCCACCAUAUCCAGGUAUGCCAAUAAAUUCAUUAAAACAUGUUGUCCGUGUAUCCAUGAGGACUAACUGUUUCUUCCAUUUUGUAAAGAGAAUAUUCCAAAGAUUGAUUCCACUGCUGUAGAUAUAACUUUUGUACAUACUUAGAAAGUUAUCACAGAUGAUUAAAAUUUCUUUUUAGUGAAACUGUGGUCAAUAUUUACCACAUUAUAAAAAUUUGCUUGUAAAAGUGAUAUGUAUCCAGUGCAUGGAUAGCUGUUGAAUCUUUACCAGGGCGAAAUAGUUCAGACUGAACACUUUAGUCAGUCAUUCCUUGCAAUGUAGCAUUGAUUCUUUGUUGAAGACAUUAUUUGUUAGUUGUCACUAUUGCAAUUCCUGGAUUAAUAUAAAACCGAGAAAAGAAAAUCUUUGUAAUUUGUGUUUUCUUUUUUAAAAUCAUGAAUAAAGAAUUCAGUUGAAGCAAAAA